UUUUUUCUCUAUAUUUUGCGUAGGUGUCUCUUAUACAGGGUGUUUGUAUAACUUUCCCCAAUCAGUUCCGAUAGUUUCUCCAUGCUUUAGUUUUGUUCUUCUUCGUCUCCCAAUCACUUCCGAUAGUUCCCCUGCUUUAGUUUUGUUCUUCUCAAUAAACUUGGUGUAUCUUCUGAUUCGAAGGUGGUCGCUCCGAUUAUAUUUUUAUAAAUCAAUACUAAUAUAUGUUAUUUGAUAUUGCAGGGAGGAAUCAGAAUUAGGGAGAUGGUUUUUCUGGAGGAAUCAGAAUUAGGCAGAUGAUUUGGUAAAGCAUCUUCGACGGCCUAAUUAACUUUAUCCAGUCCAUGCUUGGAAUGAGUAGGAAGUGGGAUUUUUUUGUGCUGCAGAUUGAAAGUACCACCUUUAGUCAUGACGACGUUUGUUGUUACGGCUGCAGAGUUGGGAUUCGGCACUGCCUUUGGAAUGGGUGAUGGGGAUUAAGCAAUAAAACAUGUAAUUGUUGCACUCUAUCUUGAAAAGUCCUUUACUGAAGAAAUGUUAGCGGUUCAGUACAGUAUAUUUCAAAGUCUUUUGUUCAUUUAAUUUCUUGACUUGAAUUCUUUGGCUUAUUUAUUGAGUUUUCAAACACCUGCAAAGGUUUGGAUGUUUCUCUUAAAUGUUUGGAAUUAAUCAGAGUGAAACAAAUUAGAGU
Molecule: long non-coding RNA, 691 nt
Organism: Papaver somniferum (opium poppy)
Lineage: Eukaryota; Viridiplantae; Streptophyta; Magnoliopsida; Ranunculales; Papaveraceae
Exons: 3
Source: RefSeq, a predicted model, not a curated record